RNAcentral lists this long non-coding RNA (565 nucleotides) under Aotus nancymaae (Ma's night monkey). Its description in RNAcentral is "lncRNA (ENSANAG00000038921.1)". Lineage: Eukaryota; Metazoa; Chordata; Mammalia; Primates; Aotidae. The record is from RNAcentral.
AAGUUUCCUAGUAUCUGUUGAGAAGGAAAGAAAACAGGAAAUCCGCCUGAGUAGAUACAUUUGCCAAAAAAAAAAAAAAAAAAAAAAAAAUUCACAGCUGUCAUAACGUUUCCGCCAUCAAAGCACAGACUACAAGGAACAAGGGAAGGGAAGCAGUGCCAGCUUCUGGGGAACUUUCAGGACCAAAUUCGGUGAAAGACUCCUGCAAGCUUCUCCGCCUGCGCCUGCAGUUGCUGGGACUAUGACAAAGUCAUCUCGGCUUUUCAAAAAGCUCAGCAGAAAGUUUGACCCAAAGAACACUGGAUGAAUUGCUAAACAAAUGAAUGCAAGUUUCCGUGAAAUGAAGAAUGACAAACUACAUAGUCAGUGGACUCCUGAAUUUCUGGAGCAAUUGCAUGAAGACCAUUUUCGGGACUAGAAGGACCACAGGGCCAACUUAUGUCUAAUCUUCUGGAUUUCUCAGGCCCUGUGAGUGCAGGCAGGGUCUGCAGCGCCCUCAGUGGGAUUCUGCGUGGGGCCCUUUGUGUCCUGCCCAUCUCCACCAUCGCCUGCCAGCAUGAACUCU